GACGAACGCUGGCGGCGUGCCUAAUACAUGCAAGUAGAAUGCUGAAGGAGGAGCUUGCUCUUCUGGAUGAGUUGCGAACGGGUGAGUAACGCGUAGGUAACCUGCCUGGUAGCGGGGGAUAACUAUUGGAAACGAUAGCUAAUACCGCAUAAGAGUAGAUGUUGCAUGACAUUUGCUUAAAAGGUGCAAUUGCAUCACUACCAGAUGGACCUGCGUUGUAUUAGCUAGUUGGUGGGGUAACGGCUCACCAAGGCGACGAUACAUAGCCGACCUGAGAGGGUGAUCGGCCACACUGGGACUGAGACACGGCCCAGACUCCUACGGGAGGCAGCAGUAGGGAAUCUUCGGCAAUGGACGGAAGUCUGACCGAGCAACGCCGCGUGAGUGAAGAAGGGUUUCGGAUCGUAAAGCUCUGUUGUAAGAGAAGAACGAGUGUGAGAGUGGAAAGUUCACACUGUGACGGUAUCUUACCAGAAAGGGACGGCUAACUACGUG
This 495-nucleotide ribosomal RNA is filed under the name uncultured bacterium. RNAcentral describes it as "partial 16S ribosomal RNA". It matches the Rfam family "Bacterial small subunit ribosomal RNA", at positions 28 to 507 of the family's 1533-position model. The record is from RNAcentral.